Molecule: transfer RNA, 86 nt
Filed under: Chloroflexota bacterium
Lineage: Bacteria; Bacillati; Chloroflexota
Also listed under: 3 other names
Description: Chloroflexi bacterium tRNA-Leu
Rfam family: tRNA
About the family: Transfer RNA (tRNA) molecules are approximately 80 nucleotides in length. Their secondary structure includes four short double-helical elements and three loops (D, anti-codon, and T loops).
Source: RNAcentral
CCCGGGGUGGUGGAAUGGCAGACACGUCCGACUCAAAAUCGGAUGGCCGUGAGGUCGUGCGGGUUCGACUCCCGCCCCCGGGACCA